AGUGAACGCUGGCGGUGGGCCUAACACAUGCAAGUCGAACGGCAGCACAGUAAGAGCUUGCUCUUACGGGUGGCGAGUGGCGGACGGGUGAGGAAUACAUCGGAAUCUACUUUUUCGUGGGGGAUAACGUAGGGAAACUUACGCUAAUACCGCAUACGACCUACGGGUGAAAGCAGGGGAUCUUCGGACCUUGCGCGAUUGAAUGAGCCGAUGUCGGAUUAGCUAGUUGGCGGGGUAAAGGCCCACCAAGGCGACGAUCCGUAGCUGGUCUGAGAGGAUGAUCAGCCACACUGGAACUGAGACACGGUCCAGACUCCUACGGGAGGCAGCAGUGGGGAAUAUUGGGCAAUGGGCGCAAGCCUGAUCCAGCCAUACCGCGUGGGUGAAGAAGGCCUUCGGGUUGUAAAGCCCUUUUGUUGGGAAAGAAAAGCAGCAGGUUAAUACCCCGCUGUUCUGACGGUACCCAAAGAAUAAGCACCGGCUAACUUCGUG
Molecule: ribosomal RNA, 492 nt
Filed under: uncultured bacterium
Lineage: Bacteria
Description: partial 16S ribosomal RNA
Rfam family: Bacterial small subunit ribosomal RNA
Source: RNAcentral